Molecule: ribosomal RNA, 247 nt
Filed under: uncultured bacterium
Lineage: Bacteria
Description: partial 16S ribosomal RNA
Rfam family: Bacterial small subunit ribosomal RNA
Source: RNAcentral
AGCGGCGGACGGGUGAGUAACACGUGGGUAACCUGCCUGUAAGACCGGGAUAACUCCGGGAAACCGGUGCUAAUACCGGAUAGAUUAUCUUUCCGCCUGGAGAGAUAAGGAAAGAUGGCUAUUGCCAUCACUUACAGAUGGGCCCGCGGCGCAUUAGCUAGUUGGUGAGGUAACGGCUCACCAAGGCGACGAUGCGUAGCCGACCUGAGAGGGUGAUCGGCCACACUGGGACUGAGACACGGCCCAG